This is a non-coding RNA of Pelobates cultripes (western spadefoot toad), 263 nucleotides long. The record is from the annotation of a GenBank genome assembly. Lineage: Eukaryota; Metazoa; Chordata; Amphibia; Anura; Pelobatidae.
GGGCAAUAGCACAAAACUGGACACAUAUAGAGCUGCCCCCGAUGUUCUUGGUACUCACGGGGUAAUGGGAUAACUACCUUAUGGACAAACUAACGGCACACAACAAAGUCAGGAACACGACAGGCACAUUUCAUAGGUUCUGUGAGCUAUGCGAGGAAUACGACACCUAGGGUACACACCAACACAGGGGUCAUAUCUUCUAACCAACACACUACAGAUAUGGAGUCACUAAAAAAGAGAAGAGGGGGAACCCCAGCCUGCAG